Long non-coding RNA from Homo sapiens (human), 2277 nucleotides. Lineage: Eukaryota; Metazoa; Chordata; Mammalia; Primates; Hominidae. The record is from Ensembl.
ACAGAUGGACCUCACAGUCUCGCAACUAACAUGGGAACCAGUAAUCUCAUGCCAGAGGAAGCACUCCUGAGGCAGAGGAGAUUUCAGGAGAGAACAGGUUGAACAUUAAUAAGGAGGAGCUUUGGCACUGGUCCAAGAAACAGGAUAAGCUAAAUCUCUGCAUCUAUUCUGGACACCAGAAUGGCGCGGGGACCAUUUAGAGGUGAGAUGGGCAGAUGAGGAGCUGAAGUUUCAGAGAGGUUAAGCAAUUUGCCUAGGUUCACACAGCAAAGAUGAUGAAACUUACAACCACAAGCAAUCCCCAGAAGCAGCCCUUUCACAGAGAGGAAGCUGAGGCUUAGAGGGUGUCAAUGGAUGAUCCAGUGCUGCAGAGCCAGAAGGGCCACCAUAACAAUGAAAUGGAGGCAGCAUACAUUGGUAAUGGAAAGAGCAUGGGAGUUUGGAAGUCAAAAGAGAUGGAUGUUUUCUGACCUUGAUAAGGACUCUGAAAAUGAUCCUUACAAGUAAACAGAAGAGACCACAAAUAACCAGUGACAGGUAAUGUGAUGAGACAUGGGAUCAAAGGACUGCGAUUGACUGCUUACCAGUUGGGUGACUUUGAGUGAGUGAUUCCAGCUCUCAUGUGCCCUGCAAAACUUACUAUUGUAUUUAUGAUGGGCACAAUAUGCACUACGUCACACACUGUGCCCUUCAGGAAAACCUGCUAGACAAAUUCCUCUAGGUUUCAGUGUCUAGGAUUCCUGAAAAUUUCCUGAAUGACAGUUCAAAAAAGUCUAACAAGCAGUUGAAAUCUGGUUGCUUCUGUGGGUUUCUUUUCUACCAUGGUAGGCAAGGAAUCUCAGGGCGAAAUCUGCAGCCCACUGUGAACAAGGGCAUGGCACCUCAUGGUAUCCACUGGGUAUCCAAACUCUCAGCUAGCUUUUUCAUACUUAGAGGUGAACUUUCCACUAGUUUCUUCUUAUUUUGCAUUUACCCCAAUUUCCUUAUUUGUUUUUAAACCUAUAGUUCGGCACACACGUCUUUAAGAUAUCUUAAAACCUUUGUGAAAUGAAGUAGAUGGCAAAUAAGUACAUUAAAUUAUUUUAAAAAUAGUUUGUCUCACUCUCAAGUUUCACAGGCAUACAACGGGAAUAGAGUAAUAGUAUCCUUCACAAUGUUGCUGGAAGAUGAAGUGACUGUGCGUGUAAGCGGCACUUUGUUGAGGGUAGAAUGCUAUGGGAGUAUUUGUGGUCGUAGUGUUUAAUCUCUCUUUGCUUCCCCCUUUCUUGUGUUCUCAGCUCAGGGAGGGAAAGUCAUUGAGCUUGUUAGGCAUCAAAGCUCUGUUCCUGCCAGGCAGCAAUAUGGGAAAAGAAGGGAACCAACCACAGAAAGUGAAGACUCGCCAUGUCUGCUCGGCAGCAGCCCUGCUGAUGGCCCCUUACCAAGCUGUGAUAGGGCACAGAGCCACCGCAACACAUGGGCUGGGGGACCGGAAGCCAGGUGACUGAGGCGGAACACCAGGCGGGACCACUCGGGCCAAGAAUUCCUGCCUAAAUGUUCCUAUGAUACUUCUCCCAGCUUGCAGGUGGACAUCCUAGCCAGCAACGAUCUCAUGUCUCAUUAGAGUGCAAGGGGGAGGAGGGAAAUCUGUGCAUGUUAAAUGUCCAGCCUUCCAUUGAGUUUGCAUGAACAUGGGUGAGUAUGUCACAAAUGUAUUGGCCAAAGGCAAUGGCUCAGGGGCAAUGUGAGGUGUGUUGCCAAUGGCCCCCAAAUACUCAGCAUUUCAGAGUGAGUGACAUCCCAGCAAGACAACAGAUGACACUCAUUGCUUUUGAGGCAUAUGUGACAAAUAUUGGAAGGCUUUCUAAGGUCAGAGGCGAAGGAAUGAAGAUAGGAGGGAAGAGGAUGAAAAGAAGGGAUGGAGAGAAAGAAUGAAGUAGAUGGAAAGAUCAGUAGAAACACCAAUCAAGACUGGCAAUGAGUACUCCAGUAAUCUUUUUCUAUCCACCUGUAGCUUGAAUCUUUUCAGGACGAAACAGAUUCUACAUAUUUUUCCUUCCAAUGCAGAGGAAGGCUGUUGUUUAACAGUGUUUUAAUUGGCCAAGGGUAAAUGCAACUCAAAGAAAGACCGAAGUGGACUUAAAAGAAGUAUCACUGUUUAUCAGCAGGAACCAACAUUUAUUGAGCAGUCAUUAUGCAUCCAUUAUGAAAAACCACUGGACACUUUACCCAUUAUCUCAUAGGUACAAUCAUCUCUUUUAAUGGAUGGAGAGGUUAAACACAGUGGGCUCUAAAACC